AACGAACGCUGGCGGCAGGCCUAACACAUGCAAGUCGAGCGCACCUUCGGGUGAGCGGCGGACGGGUUAGUAACGCGUGGGAACGUGCCCUUCUGUACGGAAUAGCCUCUGGAAACGGAGAGUAAUACCGUAUACGCCCUUUGGGGGAAAGAUUUAUCGGAGAAGGAUCGGCCCGCGUUAGAUUAGGUAGUUGGUGGGGUAACGGCCUACCAAGCCUACGAUCUAUAGCUGGUUUUAGAGGAUGAUCAGCAACACUGGGACUGAGACACGGCCCAGACUCCUACGGGAGGCAGCAGUGGGGAAUCUUAGACAAUGGGGGCAACCCUGAUCUAGCCAUGCCGCGUGAGUGAUGAAGGCCUUAGGGUCGUAAAGCUCUUUCGCCUGUGAUGAUAAUGACAGUAGCAGGUAAAGAAACCCCGGCUAACUCCGUG
This 431-nucleotide ribosomal RNA is filed under the name uncultured bacterium. RNAcentral's name for it is "bacterial SSU rRNA". It matches the Rfam family "Bacterial small subunit ribosomal RNA", at positions 29 to 507 of the family's 1533-position model. The record is from RNAcentral.